UGUUAGUUUGUUUAAAAAAAUAUAUAUAGAACUGCCAGGCCGAGCCACAAGGGCUCAGCCCAGCCCCCAUGCAUGCACGCAUGCAAUUUCCAUGCAUGCACUCCCUCCCCACGUGAGUACUCCCUCCCCUUUCCUUAUUUCUCUCCUUCCUUCUUUCUCUCCCUCCUUUUCCUUUUACUCCCCACGUUCACCUCUCCCUCUCUUUCCUAUUUUCUCU
This 217-nucleotide long non-coding RNA is filed under the name Hordeum vulgare. Its description in RNAcentral is "long non-coding RNA (HVUL_LNC019352)". The record is from RNAcentral. Lineage: Eukaryota; Viridiplantae; Streptophyta; Magnoliopsida; Poales; Poaceae.